GACGAACGCUGGCGGCGUGCUUAACACAUGCAAGUCGAACGGAAAGGCCCUGCUUUUGUGGUGUGCUCGAGUGGCGAACGGGUGAGUAACACGUGAGUAACCUGCCCGUGACUUUGGUAUAUCUUCAGGAAACUGGGGCGAAUACCGGGUAGGAGCUUCCGCUGCAUGGUGGGGGCUGGAAAGGGUCGGCGGGUGGGGAUGGAAUCGCGUCUUAUGAGCUUGUUGGUGGGGUAGGGGAUUACCAAGGCUUCGACGGGUAGCCGGCCUGAGAGGGUGACCGGCCACACUGGGUCUGAGCUACGGCCCAGCCUCCUCCGCGAGGCGGGGGUGGGGAAGAGUACACUACGGGAGGAAGCCUGACGCAACGACGCGGCGUGGCGGAUGACGUCAAUCGUGUUGGAAAGCGCAUUCGCCUGUGCAGAAGCGAGAAUGACGGUAAUGGGUAAAGAAGCACCGGCUAACUACGUG
This 468-nucleotide ribosomal RNA is filed under the name uncultured bacterium. RNAcentral describes it as "partial 16S ribosomal RNA". It matches the Rfam family "Bacterial small subunit ribosomal RNA", at positions 28 to 507 of the family's 1533-position model. The record is from RNAcentral.